UACAGAGGGGGCAAGCGUUAUUCGGAAUUAUUGGGCGUAAAGGGCGCGUAGGCGGCUUCGCAAGUGGAAGGUGAAAUCCCUCGGCUUAACCGAGGAACUGCCUGCCAGACUGCAUUGCUUGAGUCCGGGAGAGGUGAGUGGAAUUCCCAGUGUAGCGGUGAAAUGCGUAGAUAUUGGGAGGAACACCAGUGGCGAAGGCGGCUCACUGGACCGGAACUGACGCUGAGGCGCGAAAGCGUGGGGAGCGAACAGG
RNAcentral lists this ribosomal RNA (253 nucleotides) under uncultured bacterium. RNAcentral describes it as "partial 16S ribosomal RNA". It matches the Rfam family "Bacterial small subunit ribosomal RNA", at positions 524 to 776 of the family's 1533-position model. The record is from RNAcentral.